Molecule: ribosomal RNA, 43 nt
Filed under: Microdochium nivale
Lineage: Eukaryota; Fungi; Ascomycota; Sordariomycetes; Xylariales; Microdochiaceae
Also listed under: 1 other name
Description: partial 28S ribosomal RNA
Source: RNAcentral
GUUGACCUCGGAUCAGGUAGGAAUACCCGCUGAACUUAAGCAA